This 5114-nucleotide unclassified non-coding RNA is filed under the name Lytechinus variegatus (green sea urchin). Its description in RNAcentral is "uncharacterized LOC121407098, transcript variant X1". The record is from RNAcentral. Lineage: Eukaryota; Metazoa; Echinodermata; Echinoidea; Temnopleuroida; Toxopneustidae.
GUGCAUCCAUCGCGUCUGUGAUUGAGGCUAAAUGUUAAUGCACGUAGUCUAGAUUGUAUCUGAAGCUACGGGAUAUCGACUUGAAACAGCAACGUAUUUUGCAGAUUUGCAGCACGUUUUAACCUGGUUGAUCCCAGAAGCUCGAGAACAAAAUGAGUGCCCAAGAGAAAGAAGAUAGCUCGCAAUUUCGCUGCACGCUGUGUAACUUCACGGCAACCUCUAAAGGCGAGAUUGGCAAUCACUUUCUGACAGAUCACAUGGAAGCCUACGUGUCUCCAGUCAAAGAGGAAGACAAAUCUGGGAGCACCACGGACUCCAAGGGACCAGGCAGUGAUAGAGGCAUAGAUAAAGAAACAGAUGAGGAGAGGGACGAACACGAUGAGAGGGAUAAGGACUAUGUAGAUCUGUUUGAAGAAGUAGAAGAGAAGAAACCAGCACCAAGACCAAGGGGGCGUCCGCCUGGUCGCUCGACCGGGCGCCCAGUGGGGCGUCCACCGAAAAAGAGUACCCAGAAACCUAUCAAAAAACAACCAUACUAUUAUAUAGAGGAGAUAGAUGACAUAAAGGAGGAAGAGCCGGAAGAACCACAGGAAUUCGGGCGAGGAAUGAGGAGAAGGAAAAAGGCAAUUCCAAGGCAUAUUUUGCGAUACGAAUUGGAUGAAGAUGAAUCUAUGGACGAUGAAGAUUACGAUGAGACCGAAAAGAAGAAGGUUCUACCGAAAAAAAGAACCCCAUCUUUCCCUUCUGUAGAACUGAAGCCAAGGGGGAAAAGAGGAAGACCCAGGGGGAGUACGUCGCAGGAGAGGAGCAAGCAAGAUUUCGAGGGUCCAAAAAUCUCAAAGAAGGUUCCGACUUUGUCUAAAUUACCUUUGUCGAAUAAGGUGAUUGAGCGGAUUCUCGAUGACAGAGUAAAUGAAUGGUACUCGACGUUCCAGGAGAGACACGUGUUGCCGAUUCCUUGCCCAUUCGAUGGGUGCGCACUUGACGUCACCCAGGCUGAACUCGAUGUCCACCUUCAAUGCCACGCAGCAAAUUUAGAAGGUUUCCGUUGUCCCAUUGAGGAGUGUAACUUCCUUUGCCCUCAUUGGUCUAAUAUGAGAGUUCAUUACCGUAAAGUGCACGAUCCAGCAUUUUACAGGUUACUCUGUGGUCUUCCUGGAUGUUCCAUGAUCUUCCCCCGCAUUGACAAGAAAUCCAUCUUUGUUCAUGUCACAAGAAAACAUCUUCGUCCUGUAUUGUAUGACGAGAUGUCGAGCAAGAAUUUUAACAAAGAGAAGUACGAAAAAUACAUUUUCGCUGUUAAGGCCGAAGAGGUGGAAUUGAACCAGGCUUUAGAAGAUACUGAAUGUGAUGAAGGGGAAGCAGAGACAUCACUCGGAGAACCAUCUGACGCUAUGCAUGUAGAGGAGAUGAGCGAGAUAGGGAAUACGGAAACGGUGUCUGAAUUCGACACCGAAUAUCCAAAGGUAAAGAGGCGAGGACGUCCUCCUGGAUCUACCAAAGCUGCUAAAUUGGCGAGAAUCGCUGCAGGGGAAAUAAUCGAGAAGAAAGAUAAGAAAGACAAGAAAGACAAGAAAGGGAAAGGCAAGCGCUCGUUCAAUAGAGUCAUGAACAAUGUUUCCUUUUUCUGCGACCUGUGUGGAGGAAAAUACAAAUCUGAACAAGCCGUCUUCGACCACAAAACCCUCCAUUACCGCGACGAUGACUGCAACGUCCUAUGCUGCACAGAAUGUACAGAAUUCACUGCCGAGGAUUCUUCUGAGCUUCGAGAUCACGUUGUUUCAUGUCACAAGAGACUCCUGCAUCUUCAUCGCUGUGACCUCUGCCAGUUUUCAACGAAUCGAUUCCAUGAUCUCAAGAAGCACAUUCUAGUUCAUUCGGGCAGUAAGGACUACAUGUGCGAUAAAUGUGGCACAUGUACUACCACAGCCUACAAUCUUCGAGUGCAUUGGCGUCGCUACCAUGCCCCUGAUUCAGAAAAGACUGUCAAGUGCUUCGCGUGUGACUAUGUCUGUGCUGACAACGGAAUUUUAAAGGAGCAUAUUAGGUCUAAACACGGUAUGAUGGUGUAUGGCAAGGACUUCAAUAAUGCCCGUCCACUGCCGACGUAUUCUUGCACAGAAUGUGACUACGUAGGUCGCAAGAAAUCAAGUCUUGACUACCACAUGCGUAUCCACACUGAGAACCGACAGUUCAAGUGCCACAUCUGCCCUUACGCCAGUAAGACCAAGAACAACCUCUUGCUUCAUAUACGGACACACGAAGGGAUGCAGCCGCUAAAGUGUCCCGAAUGUGACUUCAGAGGUGCAACCAACAAGAUCAUAUCGGAGCAUGUGAUGUGCAAACAUGCUCGAGUUCGUCCUUACACUUGCAAAAUAUGUGGCUGGACGUCGUCUUACCACGGCAAUAUGUGGAAGCACGUAGAGACGCAUCGUCGUGAGCUGGGUGACGCAAUGCCUGAAGAACCGGUCAGUGUCAUCUCUACGGAAGGACAUAUGGUUGCCGCUCCACUCAAGGCACCGACGUUGAAGAAGCGAGGGGGAGGUGGAUCUACGUCACCAUCUGGCAGUGCGGCGAAGACGCCAAAGAUGAGAGGGAAGCGACACAAUCGUCCCCGCUUCGAGGAGAUGGAAGUUACGGUCGAGACCCAGGUGCACGACGGGCAGGAUGACAGCAUGAAGGAAGGUGUAGUUAUUCAGCUCCCAGUGUCCACUGUUCUGGACGGCCAGACAAUUACCCUUGCAGAAGGCAUCAGUGAAGAAGCUGCGAUGGGAGCAUCGGCUCUGAGUCGCCUAUCACAAGGGGGUGAGAUCACCGUCCGCGAGGUUCAUUUCUUGCAAGGUGGAGACAACCAGCAACAGCAACACGAGAUGAUCACCUACAAUGUACCCCCUGUCGCAGUUACCCAGCAAAUCAUCGCAGGUGGGGACAUGAGUCAUGUGAUCAGUGAAGCGCAGUAUCAUCAACAACAUCAGCAGCAUCAGCAGUCGCAGGAGCACGAAGUGGAACAUCAUUACGUUGAGGCGGGUCUGCAGACCGUUCAGGUGGUCACCACACAGCAAGAUAGUGGGGUUCCUCGAGCCGUAACGGAGCAGGUAGUGCACGCGAUACCGCAUCAGCAAGACCACCACCAAGAACAUCACCAGGAUCCCCGGGUUGUCGAGCAACACCGCGAAGAACCUGUCGUACAUCAGCUCAUUCCCAUGACCCUUCCUCAUGAAGCCGAGCUAGUGAUGAGUAUGAUGCAGGCACACCAGGCCAGUAUCUCUCAAGCGCAGUAACUACCAAGUUGGAACAACAGUUGGGAUGAUGUUCAUGACCCCUUGCACACUUAUAAUGCCCGUUUAAGAUUCCAACACAGACUAGUGUCGAAAAAAUUGUUUAGUAACUAUUUUGAUUGAAAAUUACAUAAUAAUUUACCACCGAGAUUGAAAUAUUGUAAUCAGUGUCCUGCCCCGUGCUCCUACUUAACCAUCCUCAAAUAAAAAUGCUUUUAUCAGGGGGUGUUUCAUAAAGAUGUUCGGAAGUUAAGAGCGAGUUUAAACACGACUUGUGAGCCUUUCUUUUACACUAACCACCGCCAAUGAACAUUUUGAAGUACACCGUUUACCACAAGAAUGGAUCAUCAGUAAUUCUUAAAGUCGUUCUUAACUUACGAGUAGCUUUAUGAAAUACCCACCGGGUGUAUGAUGGUAAAUGAUUUUAUUUACUAUUGAUCGGUCAAUCAAAGUUUAUUUAUUAAUGUAUUAAUAAAUCAACACUAAAAGUGUUGAUUUCCUCAUUCAUUCAUUAAAAAAACUUGAUAUUACAAGUAGGUUGGUAUUGCUUUCCAAUGAGUAAUGGGUUUAUUGAUUGGGCAUUUCUUUAUUAAGGUGAUUUUUGAAAUAUCAGUGGUAUGGGACUAUUGCGAAAUCGAUUUGUCGUACAUUUGUAUUGUUGAUAUCUAGGAGUAUGUCGGAGAUUGAUGGUAAAGUUUUUUGGAGGAGGUAACAGGUAAUGAAUUUUUUUCUCUCUAUCAAGAGAAUGAAUUGAUUUUUUUAUAUAGAUUUAUUUAUUCAUUUAUUUAAUGGCCAUAUGGGCUGUACUUUUUUGGCAGGAACUAUUAUUAUUUUUUUUUUUGAAAUAAUAAAUUCCUCUCUUCCAUGAAAGUAUCUCAAGAUAUUCAUGCUGUUCAUAGUUUCACUUCAGAAAUAUUGAUAAUAUUUUUCGUCCGGGGCUGUCAUUUACAUUUAUACAUUUACCUACCGGUUUGUUCGUUCGGAUGAGUCGUACAAGUGAUUCUAUUCGUAUAUAAUUUUUAAUUUUGCACGAAGUAUGCAUCUUCAUCCUGUUACAUGCUGAAAAAUAACAUUAUAGGGGUGAUGUUUCGUUUCCAUUUUGAAAGGAAUUGAAAAGAAAACAAAAAUGUUUCCAUAGCCUCAAAUUGUUUUCAUGUUAACCUUUUCUUUGGCCGAUGUUUGAAUAACUUCAUAAUAGAGCAAUGCGGGGGGGGAGAAGCCUUUGAAUCGGUUUCAUGUACCAUUAUGUUCGUUCAGAAAACAAUAUGAUACAAUGCAUUCAUUGUUGUGCAUGUAUAUAGUGGCCGUACGUCUACUUGAAAAUUGAAAUACUAUCUGCAUAGGAUGAAGACAGGAUUAAAGAAAAAAUACUUGUGAAAAAGAAGAAAAUGAUAGGGAAAAUAGGAAAAGAAAAGAAUUAAAGUACUGUUUGUAUUUGGCGUGCGCCGAAAAGUAAUCAAAAGUAUCACAAAAGAAAUGUAUUAUGUGAUAUAUCAUAAACGCGACUCUUCCAAUUUCAAGAAUCAUUUUUCAAGUUCUUAUUUGUACAGUAAAUUUGUUCAUAAUUUUCGGCAUUGAGUUAUUUCUUCAAUCUGACUUUGUAAUUUUCAUAUAGCAAUGAUUUUUCCAUAUCAACAGUUUGUUCACAUGACGUUUUCUCAUAUUUUGUAUUAUUAUUAACUUUUUGUAUUUAUUUAUUUGUUUUUUAAACUCAAGUUAGUAAUGUAUUGUCGUUACUUUAAGGUCAUAGACCUACUGAAUUUCAUGUUUUGUUUUCCAAAGCUACAUUAUACUGAUGAAACAAUAAAAAGUGUUCAUACUUGCUUUUCCACCGGA